GACCUAGUGGUGAAUGGAUCACACCCACAACUCCAUCUCGAGGAAACAUUGGAAUAUGUUGAUUGGAGGCCCCGGUUCGACCCCGGGUUAGGUCA
Non-coding RNA from Mycena latifolia, 95 nucleotides. The record is from the annotation of a GenBank genome assembly. NCBI's taxonomy places the organism in Eukaryota, Fungi, Basidiomycota, Agaricomycetes, Agaricales, Mycenaceae.